RNAcentral lists this ribosomal RNA (253 nucleotides) under uncultured bacterium. Its description in RNAcentral is "partial 16S ribosomal RNA". It matches the Rfam family "Bacterial small subunit ribosomal RNA", at positions 524 to 776 of the family's 1533-position model. The record is from RNAcentral.
UACGUAGGGUGCAAGCGUUGUCCGGAAUUAUUGGGCGUAAAGAGCUCGUAGGCGGUCUGUCGCGUCGGCUGUGAAAUCCCGAGGCUCAACCUCGGGUCUGCAGUCGAUACGGGCAAACUGGAGUGUUGCAGGGGAGACUGGAAUUCCUGGUGUAGCGGUGAAAUGCGCAGAUAUCAGGAGGAACACCGGUGGCGAAGGCGGGUCUCUGGAACGGUACUGACGCUGAGACGCGAAAGCGUGGGGAGCGAACAGG